UACGGGGGGGGCAAGCGUUGUUCGGAAUUACUGGGCGUAAAGGGCUCGUAGGCGGCCAACUAAGUCCGACGUGAAAUCCCCAGGCUUAACCUGGGAACUGCGUCGGAUACUGGAUGGCUUGAGUUCGGGAGAGGGAUGCGGAAUUCCAGGUGUAGCGGUGAAAUGCGUAGAUAUCUGGAGGAACACCGGUGGCGAAGGCGGCAUCCUGGACCGACACUGACACUGAGGAGCGAAAGCCAGGGGAGCAAACGGG
RNAcentral lists this ribosomal RNA (253 nucleotides) under uncultured bacterium. RNAcentral's name for it is "partial 16S ribosomal RNA". It matches the Rfam family "Bacterial small subunit ribosomal RNA", at positions 524 to 776 of the family's 1533-position model. The record is from RNAcentral.